AUUCUUGGGGACACAAACAUCAAAGAGCAAUUGCCCCAGAACACUAUUUGCAUUGAUGCUAGGGGAAGGUGGUAGAUAAAUAGUUGUUACUUUUCUUCCAUCCUGUAAAGGCUCUGACUCUCUAUUAUUGUGNGGUUGAAGUUGGCACAAAGAAAUGAUCACCUGGUUCAACGGCAACCCUUCUUAAGCUUUGGUUUGAGUAAACUGCUGCUUUCUGGAGGUUGCAGAUUAAUUCAGAAAUCUCAUCAUGGAUACCAUCCAGGCCAUUUCCUGCUCUAAGUUGCUGGAUUCUUCGAGAAUAAACUGAAGCUGCUUUCUCAAGCAAAUUGGUCACAGCAGCCCUGUAUUGGAUAGGAUAAUGCUUGUAAUGACCAAUAUGAGGCGAAACAUUCCACUUCACAAGCUUAACAUCUCCCCCAAGAUCUUGUAGACGUUGAGCAAAUCUGUAGAUACUUCUGUAAGGUGCAAGGUGAUCAGUCUCUGAGAAUAAUACUAGGUAAGGAGCCCCAAAAUCAACUGAAGAAUACAAAGUCUGCCAAUACUCAGCACGCUGGGAAUCAAACCUGGUAAGAUAUAAACCAUCUAGGGCAGAAGUAACUCCUUUUGCAAACCAAGACACAAGUUUUG
This 627-nucleotide unclassified non-coding RNA is filed under the name Hevea brasiliensis (rubber tree). The record is from RNAcentral. Lineage: Eukaryota; Viridiplantae; Streptophyta; Magnoliopsida; Malpighiales; Euphorbiaceae.